AGUGAACGCUGGCGGUAUGCCUAACACAUGCAAGUCGAACGGCAGCACAGUAAGAGCUUGCUCUUACGGGUGGCGAGUGGCGGACGGGUGAGGAAUACAUCGGAAUCUACUUUUUCGUGGGUGAUAACGUAGAGAAACUUACGCUAAUACCGCAUACGACCUACGGGUUAAAGCAGUGGAUCUUCGGGCCUUUCGCGAUUGAAUGAGCCGAUGUCGGAUUAGCUAGUUGGCGGGGUAAAGGCUCACCAAGGCGACGAUCCGUAGCUGGUCUGAGAGGAUGAUCAGCCACACUGGAACUGAGACACGGUCCAGACUCCUACGGGAGGCAGCAGUGGGGAAUAUUGGACAAUGGGCGAAAGCCUGAUGCAGCAACACCGCGUGGGUGAAGAAGGCCUUCGGAUUGUAAAGCUCUUUUGUUGGGAAAGAAAAGCAGCAGGUUAAUACACCGAUGUUCUGACGGUACCCAAAGAAUAAGCACCGGCUAACUUCGUG
This 492-nucleotide ribosomal RNA is filed under the name uncultured bacterium. Its description in RNAcentral is "partial 16S ribosomal RNA". It matches the Rfam family "Bacterial small subunit ribosomal RNA", at positions 29 to 507 of the family's 1533-position model. The record is from RNAcentral.